This 253-nucleotide ribosomal RNA is filed under the name uncultured bacterium. Its description in RNAcentral is "partial 16S ribosomal RNA". It matches the Rfam family "Bacterial small subunit ribosomal RNA", at positions 524 to 776 of the family's 1533-position model. The record is from RNAcentral.
UACGAAGGGGGCUAGCGUUGUUCGGAAUUACUGGGCGUAAAGCGCACGUAGGCGGAUACUUAAGUUAGGGGUGAAAUCCCAGAGCUCAACUCUGGAACUGCCUUUAAUACUGGGUAUCUCGAGUCCGAGAGAGGUGAGUGGAAUUCCGAGUGUAGAGGUGAAAUUCGUAGAUAUUCGGAGGAACACCAGUGGCGAAGGCGACUUCCUGGCCUGUUCUUGACGCUGAGGCGCGAAAGCUAGGGGAGCAAACGGG